This 459-nucleotide ribosomal RNA is filed under the name uncultured bacterium. RNAcentral's name for it is "partial 16S ribosomal RNA". It matches the Rfam family "Bacterial small subunit ribosomal RNA", at positions 338 to 795 of the family's 1533-position model. The record is from RNAcentral.
CCUACGGGAGACAGCAGUGAGGAAUAUUGGUCAAUGGGCGCAAGCCUGACCCAGCCAAGUCGCGUGAGGGAAGACGGUUCUAUGGAUUGUAAACUUCUUUUGUCGGGGAGCAAAAGACGCCACGCGUGGCGUUCCGAGAGUACCCGAAGAAAAAGCAUCGGCUAACUCCGUGCCAGCAGCCGCGGUAAUACGGGGGAUGCGAGCGUUAACCGGAUUUGUUGGGGUAAAGGGGUGCGCAGGCGGAAGAUCAAGUCAGCGGUAAAAUUGAGAGGCUCAACCUCUUCGAGCCGUUGAAACUGGUUUUCUUGAGUGAGUGAGAGGUAUGCGGAAUGCGUGGUGUAGCGGUGAAAUGCAUAGAUAUCACGCAGAACUCCGAUUGCGAAGGCAGCAUACCGGCGCUCAACUGACGCUCAUGCACGAAAGUGUGGGUAUCGAACAGGAUUAGAUACCCCAGUAGUC